CCACAACCCGAGCCGCCGACCUCAUUGCUUCCGAUGACAACCGCUUCCGCGAUGGCGACCCAUACCUGAGCGUCCUCAUGCGGCCGCAUCCUGCAGAACGCCGUCCUGAACCGUCGAGCCCUUCGUCGGGCGCGUUGGCGCUACUCAUCUCCCUCUCUCAUAUCUUCCGCGGUUCCGUCAGAUGGGAUGGGGACGACAGAGUGGAGGGCCUCCUACUCCAAGAGACCAGCGUACUAGGAGCCCACAGACUAUGUGCCCAAUUUGAAGGUAAAUACUCUCAUUGAAGUGCUCUGGUUCUAAUCAAAAUUUGAUGCAGGUUGAGGAGCGGGGAAGCACAGCUGCUUGAGGAUGAGCAAGGGCGACCAUACAUCCAGCUGCCAGCUCUCGCUAUCGAUAUGUUACUGGUCUCUGUAGUAUCUCAAUAGCAGCGAUUCUGUUUGUCGCACCAAUUGCUUAUAUUUGAACGAAAAUUGUCGCACCACUUAUACCACUUGGAAACGUGUAGUCACUUUGGUUAGAAAGAGAUUGUAGCUGUCAAGGACAAUUUCAUUCAGUUUGGUUGUAGUGUAGGCUUGGCACCACAUAUACUUUCCAUAGAAGCAGAAAGUGGCGUAAAAUCAUGAAGCAGUAAAGAUAACUUUUUAUACAUCUAUUUAUCCUAGAUACGUAGCAUAAUACACAACACAGAGUAAGCAUUGGGAAAAGAUAGUAUUAGAUGAUUGCUUCAAAAAUACACUAAAAACUGGAGCUGAAUGCAUUUUAGGUAGUAAAACACAUCCCAGAGACGAUAUGGGUUGAUGCAAGUCUUGGACCCUGGUGUUUGCGAUUCAUUUUAGUGUACUGAAUUUGGUAAGUGGUAUGGAUCGUGUAUUUUGAUGCAGGUUGAUGGGUGUAUUUUCUUGCGGUGAAGCAGGCCUGUAAAUUUGCGAGAUAACAUAUUCUUCAAAAUGGACUGGUAGUGCGUAUUCAGAAAACUUGGACAACUUCUAUCAUGUAGAUUGCAUGCAUGUAUGUAGUUUCUGAUUCCUCUAUCGGAUGAAUUCAGCUUAAGACUGAUUGCUACUCUGCUUGAACAAUGAUAUCUUACUAGAUUAGCUGGUAAAUCCAAUGUUGAAGGUUUGCUUACACACUAAAGGCAGCUGGCCAUUUUCAUUAAAAAUUUGCUUGCGUUGUAUUGUUGAUCAAUUAAUUUCAGGGAGGCGUACCCAUGUUGUCCUUGUUUUAACAGCUAUUGCUAACAUUUUUCCGCUGGUUUUAACAAUGAAUCACUUCUCUUCUUUUUGGAAGUGCUAAUUUUGAAGCCGUGAUCUUGUGUACUAAAAGAGUACUCAGUACCUGCGUACUUGGUUUACUUUAUGUCUCAGGUUUCUCGGUUAGCAUUGCACAAAGCAUACAAUAGAUCUAUAUGGACAAAUGUUCAUUAUGGUUACAUAUCUGAUGUCAUGGGCUAUACUAACUUCUUCCCAAUAGAUUAUAUUUUUGAUAUAGUUGCUGGUCAAUAUGCUCUUGUGUUUUAUAUUCUCGAGAUGGAAACAUACAUAUACAAUAGCCAUUCUAUGUGGGAUCCAGGUAGGAUUGCACCUUCAACCUAUGUUCUAAAGUUAUUUUAUAGCCUGACAUUUUUUCUAAUACAUCAAAAUAUAAGACAGGGAGCUUUGUAUACUCUUCGUUGCUGGUACUCUGUAGGUAUCAUCGGACUGCAACACUAUGAGCAAUCUGAUGUAGGGCGCGACCACAGGUACAAAAAUGAUGGCUGUGUUGGCAUCUGCUGAUCCUAGAGAGGACAAGACGCCGGGAACCGCUGGUGUCGAGUGACAUCCAUGUCCUCUAUGCCAUGGUAGCCGAUCCCGCGACCCCAACGGUCCACCCUUCUCCAUUCCAUAAGCCCUCCUUCUCUAUCUUCUAUAGAUGGGUGUUCUUUCACAAAGGAGGUUAAUUCUGAAUAGAAGUCAGAUCCAAAUCACAAAGAAUGCUACAACAAAGGCUGCUACAGUCCCAGUGCGUCGCAUGGCUAAAAGAAACAAGCCAAGAUUACUGGAACGGUUUUAUAGUUUCACGACAGAGACAUGAUGGAGAUAUUCAAUGUAUUUUGUAUACCAUGCUAGAUGGUUGACUUAAAUCAUCCCAUGGCCUGAUAGAUGCCUAAGGUUUUAAUGGUCGGACAUUCCUAUGUGCGGAAUCUGUGAUGGGGAGGAGUCUGAACAUGAUAAAUGGCCUUGAGCUUGGCGGGUGUCGCGGUCUGACCAGGCAAGCGUUCUAGCAUCCAGCUUCGAUGACCUUCAACACUUCAAUGUUUGUAUGACACAAACACUGUUUUUUUAUAGUGCAAGAAAGUAAUUGUUUGAUCGAAGCUAUCUUAUGAAGACUACCCUACAAAAUGGGUAGUUGACAUACAAAUGCCACUUGUGGGAGGAAAGAUACGAGGAAUAAUGUUAGGUUUUACAGCAAACGGUUGUAUGCAUUGCAAGAAAUUGUUAUAAUGUAGUUUUGUAUAUCUAUGCUACUCAUAUAAUAUUUUCUUAUUAAAAAUA
Molecule: long non-coding RNA, 2531 nt
Organism: Lolium perenne
Lineage: Eukaryota; Viridiplantae; Streptophyta; Magnoliopsida; Poales; Poaceae
Source: RefSeq, a predicted model, not a curated record